Cryptomeria japonica (Japanese cedar) is the source of this 2370-nucleotide RNA transcript. It is a transcript of the gene named DNA-binding protein RHL1, with no coding region annotated. The transcript is spliced from 14 exons. Lineage: Eukaryota; Viridiplantae; Streptophyta; Pinopsida; Cupressales; Cupressaceae. The record is from RefSeq and is a predicted model, not a curated record.
ACCAAACACUUCUUAACACCAAAAAUUAUCAGUCUGGCUCCCAAAAACAAUCGUUUCUACUGUAAAAUAAAUCAACUUAUUAAGUGCGAACCCAAAAAAAUUGAUGGUAGAGCAGGUCUCGGUUUCAAAUCUCACCGUUUUUGUACUCAAGAUUCUUGAACCGUUCGCUAUUUAAGCAGAACGUUCAAAGUCGUGGAGAUUUGACUGUCUUUAUUUUUCAGUGGACGAAUGAGAUCCCCACAUACACUCUAAAUUCUGCUUUACUUGACAACUCAAAAAUUUCACGAUUGACAAUCCAAUGGUCGAACCUCGGAGUUUGCAUAAUUCCAGCAAACCCUUUACGAAAUGCUGACAAUAACACUAUUAGAGUUUUCCGUACGUUAAAUAUAGAGAACCUACACAAGAGAGCUAAAUUUCUCUUCUGUUAUUUCAUGUUAUAACGGUAAAAAAAUAUGGUGAAAGCCGCAAAGAACGGUGUUGCAGAGAAUGCUGAAGAUCUCGAGAGGCAGAGGCUACGUAAGAUGGCUUUUAGCAGGAAAAUAAUUUCUCAGGUGCGAGCAAACCCUAGUCGCCCUUUGCAGCCUUCAAAAUCCAUAAUUAAAAGCGACGGAAGAGAUAUUGUGAAGAAAGGCCAGAGGAAAAGCAAAUAUCUAUUUGCUUUCCCUUGCCUUAUAGCUCCUGUUUCUGGUGGCAAGAUGGGAGAAUUGUCUCACCUGGACACUAAAAACCCUAUUCUUUAUGUCAGUUUUCCUCAGGGGCGGCUGAAGUUCUUUGGAACAAUCAUGUAUCCAAAAAACAAAUAUAUAUCAUUGCAUUUCCCGAAAGGAGCGGGAGAUAUUGUCUGUGAGGAUUCUUUUGAUAGUCUAGUUGUAUUUUCUGAUGUAUGGUGGAUUGGAACGGAGGAGGAAAAUCCUGAAGAAUUGCAACUAGAUUUUCCAAAAGAACUAAAUCAGGAGAAGCAUGCAGAGUUCGACUUUAAAGGUGGUGCUGGCUGUGUAUCUGACCAUAAAGAUAUUUCUGCCAAACAGCUUCCUUUGAAGGAAUGUGUUGAACAACUGACUCAUGAUACCGACUCUGACUCUGAGUCCUUGAGAGACUGUUCAGACAAGUCCACAAUAAAUAUUGUAAGAGAAGAAUCAAAAACACCAGUGCAAGAAGAAUCAAAGACACCAGUGCGUACUUCUUCACGGAGAGCAGGGAAGACAUACAAGUUUGUAGAAUCUCCUUCUGAAGAUGAACUAGAAAGUACAGGAAGUGAUUCUGGUUCAUCGGACAUAGAAGUGAAACACACAGAAAAGAAACAGGAAGUGAAUCGUAAUCUCUUCAAUGUGCAUGAAGAAGCAGCAGUAGGAGAUUCUGUCCCUAUUUUGGCCGACCUUGGAAAUGAUGAAAACAAGAAAGCAUCUACCAUGGAUGCCCAGAAUGCUUCCUCCUCCGCUCCAAAGACUUCAACACGGAAAAAAUCCAAAGAAAGUGUAAACAAGUCACCGACUUUGGCAACAACAAAGGGACUUGUACAAUCGAGCUUGUCUUCCUUCUUGCUCAAACCUGAGGAAAAGAAGUCACAAAGUGAAAAGGCCCCAGUGACGAAAGGGCCAGUUCAAAAGAGGCAGCAGCCAACUGAUAGCAAGGGAAAAUCAAAAAAGAAAAAAAGUCCAGAGGAAAACUUAAGCCAGGAAGAAAUUGUGCAGGAAGUGAACACAACACCCAGGCAAGUUGGACGACGUAUAUCAGGAAGGGGAGGAAGUGGGAGUAAAGCAAAACAAUCUAAGAAAAAGCAGGAAAGUUCUGAUGAAGAAGAAGUGCCAAGUGAAUCUGAGGAGAGUGAUGAGAGUGAUGAAGAUUGGAAAGCUUAGCUGAUGCAAUCUGUCAAUAGAGAAAGGAUGAUGAAUUUUCACGAGGCUUUGCAAUCAUUUGUUACUCUGCAAUCAAAAUAUUGGAUACGAACAAUGUCAAAUUGAUAUGGAGAACUGGUUGGAAGUGGAGGAAAAUCCUUGGUGUAGACCAUCAAAGCAUGCAACCAUGCUCGUAAGUAAAAAUGACAUUAGCUCUCUCUAGUAUCAUAGAUUGUGACACAUCAAUUUUGUAUCUAUACAGUACAUGAACAGCUCCAUCUAACACUGCUGUAAAUUGUUGUCGUUGAUGUCAAAGAUCAUUUUGUGGCAUAUUUGAUUGAGGACAGCUUGUGCCAAAUUUAUGGCACUAUUAUUGAGACAUAUUCAAGCAAGGAGAUAAAUUGCAUAUCUAAAGUUGAGUUAUAAAUUGUAAAAUAUUUUUAAUUGAUUUGACCGACCCCCUCUUGGAGCUGACCCAAUUAUGGAAUUUAAAAAUGCAUUUAAAUAUUACUUUAAUAAGGGAUGACCCCCUUGA